AUUGAACGCUAGCGGGAUGCCUUACACAUGCAAGUCGAACGGCAGCACGGACUUCGGUCUGGUGGCGAGUGGCGAACGGGUGAGUAAUACAUCGGAACGUGCCUAGUAGUGGGGGAUAACUACUCGAAAGAGUGGCUAAUACCGCAUGAGAUCUACGGAUGAAAGCAGGGGAUCGCAAGACCUUGUGCUACUAGAGCGGCCGAUGGCAGAUUAGGUAGUUGGUGGGAUAAAAGCUUACCAAGCCAACGAUCUGUAGCUGGUCUGAGAGGACGAUCAGCCACACUGGGACUGAGACACGGCCCAG
RNAcentral lists this ribosomal RNA (304 nucleotides) under uncultured bacterium. Its description in RNAcentral is "bacterial SSU rRNA". It matches the Rfam family "Bacterial small subunit ribosomal RNA", at positions 30 to 334 of the family's 1533-position model. The record is from RNAcentral.